This is an RNA transcript of Oncorhynchus nerka (sockeye salmon), 2186 nucleotides long. RefSeq lists it as uncharacterized. NCBI's taxonomy places the organism in Eukaryota, Metazoa, Chordata, Actinopteri, Salmoniformes, Salmonidae. The record is from RefSeq and is a predicted model, not a curated record. The transcript has 5 exons.
UGUGUGAGUCAGGAUGUGUUUUGUGUCAAUUAAUUGAUGGAAAUGUUUCCCUCAGAAAGAAAGAUGGAUCGUAAUGAUGAGAGAAUAAAAAGAGCUUUAAGACGCCGCCCUUAUGUGUUGAAACCAGUGAGGGUGAACACCCCUGAAUCCGUGUUGUGGCCAACCGGCAAGGUGCACAGAAGGCCAAAGCCUGUAAGUCAUAUCUGACUGAAACAAAAACAUACACAUUAGUUAUGCAUUCUGCAUGUACAAACUGCAGUUAUCAGAAUUAAAGCAAUGCAGAUGUCCCUAUGUAACCUCAUUGAAUGCUGUCUGAACAGUCUACUUCAGUGCAGACCACUCAGAUCCACAAAAAACCUGUAAGUAACAUUCAAAUUCAACCACAUAACACUCCUUAUAUUAUUUAUUGAUACACAAUUCAAGGCCAAAAUGAGCAAAGCAGUGUUGAAUUCAUUCUUUACUGUUAACAGCCAAUCAUUGUGAGCUAUGGGCAGGACCAGACAUCUGGGGAUGGAUGGAGCAUCAAUCCAGAGCCUCUCAGCCAGGUCAUCUCUGCUGUUCCCAUAGAGACACACCAGUUAGAUCAAUCUGUUGAUUCAUAUGGCCAUUUUGGUUGGCUUGGUUGAAUUGACAAUCAUCCAUUCAAAAUGCUAAAUAAUCCUAUUCUAUGGAAGGUCUUUUGCCCCAACCCUAAUGUUAUGGGAGUUGCAUUUAUUGCAUUUUCAGUUACCCAUGUAUUACUCACUACUUGUACAACCAUGUUGGAUUGCCUACAUAUUCUACAUUUCCUUGAGGGUCAAUGCCAGUGUAUUCUAUGGCUGCCAUGAUUACAUGCCUUUCUCUGUCUCCUCAGUCUGGAAGGGUCACUCGGCUGAUAGAGAGAAAAUAUGAUGACGUGAUCUCAUCCUCCAGUUCUGAUGACUUUUCCGUCUACUCCUUCACUGACUGUGAAUCUGAGUGUGAUGAUGAGGAUCAUGAAAGGAGGACACCACCGCUGAAAAUUGAGAAUGGAAAGGUGACAAAGCUUGAUGUGAGGGAUAUGGACGAGGAUGACGAUCUGUCUCUCCACUCCUUCGAUGAGUCAGACUUCCUGAGCCCAGGGAAGGUCUCAGGUCCUGUAUCUGUCAGGAAUGGCCAAUCUCCUCUUAUGACCUCAGCACACCGGACCCUGGCUGAAGCCCUACGGGCCCUACCCUCUGCUGUAGGCUCUCCCUACCCAGUAAAUGUCCCAAGGCCCUGGACUCCUCUCAACCCUGUCAUUAUCGCUCCACCCCGAACAGAGAACUUUCCAUACCGCCACAGCCCUCGCCUGGCUCCCAUCACCAACCUGAGCGAGACAGGCAGGAAGCUGCUCCAGGAAAUGGCUGGAGUGGCCCCACAGGUUUCUUCAGUGGCUGCUGUCCAAACUGAGAUGUUCAAAAAAAUAAUGGCCAACUAUUACUUCUACCACACACACACACACACACACACACACACACACACACACACACAGAUUUUGAGUAUUGGUUACUCCUACAACACACACAAACGUAAUUUUAGAGACAGGAACUAUGAUUAGCAAAAUACAUAUAUUGGUCUCAUUCUUAUAUUUUGAGACAUGCAGCAUUCUUUUUUUUAAAUGAUAUUGAUCCCCAUACAGCCCAUGAUAAUGAGUUGGAUUUACAUGCUUAGGCUUGGAAAUAUAGCCAGGAGAAGCAGGGUCAACACCUCUACUCAUGUCAUAAGUGCCAUGACAUCUUUAGUAACCACAGAGAGAUAAGACCUCUGUCUCCACAGUCUCAUGCAAAGGACAUCACCAACCUUAGGGCAGUGUCACUGGUAUUGGGGUCUUCUUUGGCCAAAGUGAAGAGUUGAGUACCCCUUACUGGUCUCCUUGCAAUAUCUGGUCUCCCACACAGAGAUGGAAAUCUACACCUGUUUAGACCCUGGAGGAUAUGGCUUCAGAUGAAAGACAGCAGAGAGAUACAGAACGUAAAAGCUUCAAACACAUUGAUAUGCAAAUUCAGGACCAUUGUACACUGAAGUGGCACAUGCAUCUGGUCUGAAUCAUGUCAAAAGAGUAGAAAUGAACUAGGACUGGAGGACUGCAUCACAUUUAAACUAAAUUAGCAUGUAUCUGAUUUAGCUACACUCAUCUGUACUUGAAUUGUGCUGUUUGAAACGUGCAUUUCCAAUAAAGCUUUUUA